GAGAUUGAAAAUGCCCUUUUCAUGAUGCAUCCGAGUAAAUCUCCAGGUGUUGAUGGGUUCACGGCUGGGUUCUAUAUUAAGCAUUGGAACAUCCUGAAGAGCUCAGUAUGUCAUGCUAUCCGAGAGUUUUUUAUAACAGGAAUAUUGCCAGAUGUGGUUAAUAAUACGGUGUUGGUUCUCAUUCCCAAGAUUAAAAACCCACAGAACCUGGCUCAAUACCGACCGGUAUCUCUUUGCAACGUCUUGUAUAAGAUAAUUGCUAAGGUACUUGCUCUCAGGUUGAGGCCUUUUUUGGAAGAGAUUAUUUCGAAGGAACAAAGCGCCUUUGUCCCCGGAAGACUUAUAUCAGACAAUGUAUUAACUGCAUAUGAGUGUAUACACUACUUGAAAGGAAAAAAAGGAAAAAGUGUUGAUUGUGCGAUGAAGCUUGAUAUGACAAAGGCAUACGACCGGGUGGAGUGGUUGUAUCUAAGGGCAAUUAUGCAUAAACUAGGGUUUGCGGAGUGGUGGAUUGACAGAGUGAUGGCAUGUGUGGAAACUGUUUCAUUCUCAGUCAGAGUAAAUGGUGUCUUCUCUGAAUCCUUUAAACCAUCUAAAGGUAUACGGCAAGGGGACACCAUAUUCCCUUACCUAUUUCUGAUCUGCUCGGAAGGACUGACGUGCUUGCUGAGGAAAGUUGGAGAAGGUCAUCUAACCAGGGGAAUUAGAGUGGGAAUUCAUGCACCAUGGAUCACACAUUUGCUUUUCGCGGAUGAUUGUUUAAUCUUUACGCGGGCCACUGAAGCUGGAGCAACUAGAAUACAUGAUAUACUAGAAACGUACAGGAGGGGCUCUGGACAAUUAGUAAACAGAGCAAAAUCUGCAAUUUUCUUCAGCGCUAACUGUCCGGAUGAGGUGAAGCAGACAGUACAACAGAGGGUUGGCAUUGCGACUGAGGCACUGAGGGAGAAAUAUCUGGGACUCCCUACUGCCCUAGGGAAGUCAACAGACUCACAAUUUGAAGGUAUUGUAUCCUCCAUCAAGAAGUUCUGCAAUGGAUGGUUACCAUUGUUAUUGAACAGUGCGGGCCGAGAGGUUCUUGUAAAACCAAUCUGCCAAGCCAUACCUACCUUCUCCAUGAGCUGUUUCCGUCUAUCAAAAAACAUGUGUAAGAAGAUAAUGAGUGUACUUGCGCGGUUUUGGUGGGGAGGAGAUGACAAAAAGAGGAAAAUGCAUUGGAAGAAAUGGGCUGAUAUUGCAAUACCAAAAGGGGAAGGAGGAAUGAGAUUCAGGGACAUACAACUAUUCAAUCAGGCAAUGUUGGCAAAACAGGGCUGGAGGUUAUUAACAAAGCCUGAUUCCUUGUGUGCUAGAAUUCUGAAGGGGAAAUACUUUCACGACAGAGAUUUUAUGGAAGCUAGGAAUAAACAGAACUCAUCUCACACGUGGAGAGCAAUAUUGCACGGACGAGAACUCCUUAACAGGGGAUUAAUCAAACGUGUAGGGGAUGGAAGCAUCACUAGAAUUUGUGGAUGA
This 1515-nucleotide ribosomal RNA is filed under the name Triticum aestivum (bread wheat). RNAcentral describes it as "partial small subunit ribosomal RNA". The record is from RNAcentral. Lineage: Eukaryota; Viridiplantae; Streptophyta; Magnoliopsida; Poales; Poaceae.